RNAcentral lists this unclassified non-coding RNA (240 nucleotides) under Hevea brasiliensis (rubber tree). Lineage: Eukaryota; Viridiplantae; Streptophyta; Magnoliopsida; Malpighiales; Euphorbiaceae. The record is from RNAcentral.
UUGAGUCACAGGUUUAAUGCUGUAAUGAUGGGAUGAUAUUCACUCCUAAUGUAUCUAUAGAUUAUGGCAUUAAAAUCCGUAAAAGAGAGGGGACGAGCUGCAGCUUGAAGUUCAUCUGCUAGAGUUUUUGCACAAUGUAGAUAUCAGACACUGGCAUAUCAUUUUUCUUUAACUCAUGUAAUUCAAUGUGAAUUUGUAGUUGCUGGUUCUGGAAAACUGAUCCAAAAGCCUUUGCUAAAG